AUUUGACCCAACGCGGGAAAACUCACCAGGUCAGGACACGGUAAGGAUUGACGGACUGAAGGCUCUUUCUCGAUUCCGUGGAAAGUGGUGCAUGGCCGUUUUUGGUUGGUGGAUCGAUCCGUCUGGUUAAUUCCGUUAACGAACGAGACCUCGGCACUCCGAAUAGCGCGGCGGACGUCGCGGCCUCCGGGCCGUCUUCCGCACGAGCUUCUUAGAGGGACCGUCCCCCGCCGGGGAAGGAGGUGCGAGGCAACGACAGGUCUGUGAUGCCCUUAGAUGUUCUGGGCCGCACGCGCAUUACACUGACGCGUCCAACGGGUGACUCCCGACCCGAAGGGGCCGGGGAAUCCGCAAGGCGCGUCGUGAUGGGGAUUGAACGUUGCAAUUGUUGUUCACGAACGAGGAAUUCCUAGUAGGCGCGGGUCAUCAACCCGCGCCGAUUACGUCCCUGCCCUUUGUACAC
This 463-nucleotide ribosomal RNA is filed under the name uncultured eukaryote. RNAcentral describes it as "bacterial SSU rRNA". It matches the Rfam family "Eukaryotic small subunit ribosomal RNA", at positions 1193 to 1667 of the family's 1831-position model. The record is from RNAcentral.